AAGCGCAUCUGGUGGAUGCCUUGGCGACAACAGGCGAUGAAGGACGUAGUAGUCUGCGAUAAGCCGCGGCGAGCUGACAAACGAGCUUUGACCCGCGGAUUUCCGAAUGGGGCAACCCACCGCUUUUGCGGUAUCCGUAACUGAAUACAUAGGUUGCGGAGGCGAACUCAGGGAACUGAAACAUCUAAGUACCUGAAGGAAAAGAAAUCAACCGAGAUUCCGCAAGUAGUGGCGAGCGAACGCGGAGCAGCCCUUAAGCUUUUUAUGUUUUAGCAGAGCGGUCUGGAAAGGCCGGCCAUAGUGGGUGAUAGCCCCGUAUGCGAAAGGACAUAGAGAGUGAAAUCGAGUAAGGCGAGGCACGUGAAACCUUGUCUGAACAUGGGGGGACCAUCCUCCAAGGCUAAAUACUCGUUGUCGACCGAUAGUGAACCAGUACCGUGAGGGAAAGGCGAAAAGAACCCCGGAGAGGGGAGUGAAAUAGAACCUGAAACCGGAUGCGUACAAGUAGUCGGAGCCCUUCGGGGUGACGGCGUACCUUUUGUAUAAUGGGUCAGCGACUUACUUCUCAGUAGCGAGGCUAACCGUAUAGGGGAGCCGUAGGGAAACCGAGUCUUAAUAGGGCGAAUAGUUGCUGGGAGUAGACCCGAAACCCGUCGAUCUAUCCAUGGCCAGGGUGAAGUUGUGGUAACACACAAUGGAGGCCCGAACUCACGUCUGUUGAAAAAGACGGAGAUGAGCUGUGGAUAGGAGUGAAAGGCUAAUCAAGGCGGGUGAUAGCUGGUUCUCCUCGAAAGCUAUUUAGGUAGCGCCUCACGUCUCACUGCAGGGGGUAGAGCACUGUCACGGUUUGGGGGGUCCACAAGGAUCUACCCGGCUGUUGCAAACUCCGAAUACCUGCAAGUGCAAUCGUGGGAGACACACGGUGGGAGCUAAAUUUCAUCGUGAAAAGGGAAACAGCCCUGACCGCCAGCUAAGGUCCCCAAAUUACCGCUAAGUGGUGAACGAUGUGGGAAGGCAGAGACAGCCAGGAAGUUGGCUUAGAAGCAGCCAUCUUUUAAAGAAAGCGUAAUAGCUCACUGGUCGAGUCGGCCCGCGCGGAAGAUGUAACGGGGCUCAAGCGGUGUACCGAAGCUGCGGAUGCACACUUAGGUGUGCGUGGUAGAGGAGCGUUCUGUAAGCCUGUGAAGGUGGAUCGUAAGGUCUGCUGGAGGUAUCAGAAGUGCGAAUGCUGACAUGAGUAACGACAAUACGGGUGAAAAACCCGUUCGCCGUAAGCCCAAGGGUUCCAGCGCAACGGUAAUCGGCGCUGGGUGAGUCGGAUCCUAAGGCGAGGCCGAGAGGCGUAGUCGAUGGAAAACUGGUUAAUAUUCCAGUACUUGCUGAUGCUGCGAUGGGGUGACGGAGAAGGUUAGGGUAGCUGCCUGUUGGAUGGUAGUUUAAGCCCGUAGGAAGGUUCCUUAGGCAAAUCCGGGGAAUCAAUUCUGAAAGGUGAUGACGAGCCGCAAUUGCGGCGAAGUACUUGAUACCCCGCUUCCAAGAAAAACCUCUAAGCUUCAGGCAUCAGGAAUCCGUACCCGAAACCGACACAGGUGGGCGAGGAGAGUAUCCUAAGGCGUUUGAGACAACUCGGAUGAAGGAACUCGGCAAAAUAGUGCCGUAACUUCGGGAGAAGGCACGCCUGCGCAAGCAGGCCGCAGUGAAGAGGGGGUGGCAACUGUUUAUCAAAAACACAGGACUCUGCAAACACGAAAGUGGACGUAUAGGGUCUGACACCUGCCCGGUGCUGGAAGGUUAAGUGAUGGGGUCAGGCGCAAGCCAAAGCUCUUGAUCGAAGCCCCAGUAAACGGCGGCCGUAACUAUAACGGUCCUAAGGUAGCGAAAUUCCUUGUCGGGUAAGUUCCGACCUGCACGAAUGGUGUAAUGAUCGCCCCACUGUCUCCAUCCGAGGCUCAGUGAAAUUAAAAUCGCUGUGACGAUGCAGUGUUCCCGCGGCAAGACGGAAAGACCCCGUGAACCUUUACUAUAACUUUACACUGGAUUUUGAGUUUAUUUGUGUAGGAUAGGUGGGAGGCAUUGAAACCAGGGCGCUAGCUUUGGUGGAGCCAACCUUGAAAUACCACCCUGAUAAACUUGAAAUUCUAACCUCGUCCCGUUAUCCGGGACAGGGACAUUGUAUGGUGGGUAGUUUGACUGGGGCGGUCUCCUCCCAAAGAGUAACGGAGGAGUGCGAAGGUUAGCUCAGCGCGGUCGGAAAUCGCGCUUUUGAGUGCAUAGGCAUAAGCUAGCUUGACUGCGAGACAAACAAGUCGAGCAGGUACGAAAGUAGGUCUAAGUGAUCCGGUGGUUCUGUAUGGAAGGGCCAUCGCUCAACGGAUAAAAGGUACUCCGGGGAUAACAGGCUGAUACUGCCCAAGAGUCCAUAUCGACGGCAGUGUUUGGCACCUCGAUGUCGGCUCAUCACAUCCUGGGGCUGUAGUCGGUCCCAAGGGUUCGGCUGUUCGCCGAUUAAAGUGGUACGCGAGCUGGGUUCAGAACGUCGUGAGACAGUUCGGUCCCUAUCUGCCGUGGGCGUUCGAGAUUUGAGAGGAGUUCACCUUAGUACGAGAGGACCGGGUGGAACGUAUCUCUGGUGUUCCAGUUGUCACGCCAGUGGCAUCGCUGGGUAGCUAUAUACGGACGGGAUAACCGCUGAAAGCAUCUAAGCGGGAAGCCCACCUCAAGAUGAGAUCUCGCGGGACUUGAGUCCCCUAAAGAGCCCUUGUAGACCACAAGGUUGAUAGGCACGGUGUGGAAGCGCAGUAAUGUGUGAAGCUAACGUGUACUAAUUGCUCGUGCGGCUUGAUCAUAUAACGCUCAAGCAUUU
This 2863-nucleotide ribosomal RNA is filed under the name Solimonas marina. RNAcentral's name for it is "partial 23S ribosomal RNA". It matches the Rfam family "Bacterial large subunit ribosomal RNA". The record is from RNAcentral. Lineage: Bacteria; Pseudomonadati; Pseudomonadota; Gammaproteobacteria; Nevskiales; Nevskiaceae.